RNAcentral lists this ribosomal RNA (495 nucleotides) under uncultured Acholeplasma sp. Its description in RNAcentral is "bacterial SSU rRNA". It matches the Rfam family "Bacterial small subunit ribosomal RNA", at positions 903 to 1382 of the family's 1533-position model. Lineage: Bacteria; Bacillati; Mycoplasmatota; Mollicutes; Acholeplasmatales; Acholeplasmataceae. The record is from RNAcentral.
GCCACGCCCGCUCAAGAACUACAAAGGAAUUGACGGACCCCGCACAAGCGGUGGAUCAUGUUGUUUAAUUCGAUGAUACGCGAAGAACCUUACCAGGUCUUGACAUCCCCCGCGAUGCUUUAGAGAUAAAGCGGAGGUAUUCGGGGAGACAGGUGGUGCAUGGUUGUCGUCAGCUCGUGUCGUGAGAUGUUGGGCUAAGUCCCGCAACGAGCGCAACCCCUAUUGCUAGUUACCAUCAUUAAGUUGGGGACUCUAGCGAGACUGCCAGUGAUAAACUGGAGGAAGGUGGGGAUGACGUCAAAUCAUCAUGCCCCUUAUGACCUGGGCUACAAACGUGAUACAAUGGCUGGAACAAAGGGAUGCGAAGCAGUGAUGUGGAGCGAAACCCAUAAAAACAGUCUCAGUUCGGAUUGAAGUCUGCAACUCGACUUCAUGAAGUCGGAAUCGCUAGUAAUCGCGGAUCAGAACGCCGCGGUGAAUACGUUCUCGGGGUUC